CCUACGGGAGGCAGCAGUGGGGAAUAUUGCACAAUGGGGGAAACCCUGAUGCAGCGACGCCGCGUGAGUGAAGAAGUAUUUCGGUAUGUAAAGCUCUAUCAGCAGGGAAGUAAAUGACGGUACCUGAGUAAGAAGCCCCGGCUAACUACGUGCCAGCAGCCGCGGUAAUACGGAGGGGGCAAGCGUUAUCCGGAUUUACUGGGUGUAAAGGGAGCGUAGACGGCAGCACAAGUCUGGAGUGAAAUGCCGGGGCUUAACCCCGGAACUGCAUUGGAAACUGUGCAGCUAGAGUGCAGGAGAGGUAGGCGGAAUUCGUGGUGUAGCGGUGAAAUGCGUAGAUAUUAGGAGGAACACCAGUGGCGAAGGCGGCUUACUGAACUGUAACUGACGUUGAGGCUCGAAAGCGUGGGGAGCAAACAGGAUUAGAUACCCGUGUAGUC
RNAcentral lists this ribosomal RNA (440 nucleotides) under uncultured bacterium. RNAcentral describes it as "partial 16S ribosomal RNA". It matches the Rfam family "Bacterial small subunit ribosomal RNA", at positions 338 to 795 of the family's 1533-position model. The record is from RNAcentral.